GAAAAAGUGGAGAUGCUGAAUAAAGACAAACGAUGCUUUCUUCUAUAAAGAGAGGAGUAAAUGAGGCAGUAGCUGGAAAUGAGUGAUAAAGCUAAAAUGAGACUCCCAGGGUAUGGCCCUCGUGCAAUAUGGCUGAUGUCCUUAUUAGAAGAGGAAGAGACACCAGGAAUGCAUGUGCACAGAAAAAAUGCCAUAAGAGGACAUAGCAAGAAGGCAACCAGCUGCAAGCCAAGACAGGCCUCAGGAGAAACCAAAUGUGCUGACAUCUUGAUCUUAGACUUAUAACAUCCACAACUGUGAGAAAAUGAACUUUUGUUAUUUAAGGCACCCAUUCUGUGGUACUUUCUUAUGAUAACCCUAUAGCAAUGCAAGAAUGGCCUAAUACAUCUAUAUUUAUAUUGGACAAAAUUGACUUUAAGC
Molecule: long non-coding RNA, 420 nt
Filed under: Homo sapiens (human)
Lineage: Eukaryota; Metazoa; Chordata; Mammalia; Primates; Hominidae
Description: HSALNT0345264
Source: RNAcentral